This 1249-nucleotide long non-coding RNA is filed under the name Mytilus galloprovincialis (Mediterranean mussel). Lineage: Eukaryota; Metazoa; Mollusca; Bivalvia; Mytilida; Mytilidae. The record is from RNAcentral.
AGGAAUGUUUAUUUUCACUCGAUGAUAUCGGCGUAUUUAGAAUGAUCUAUCAUGUGUAUAGAUGGGUUAAAACCCCAAAACUAAUUUACAUAAUGGAAAUUUAGGAGAUAGUAAUACACCGGAAUGCGCUUAACAGUCAUCCACUGUAAAAACAGUAUUUUUUAGAAUAUAAUUCAUAAAACUAUUACAGUAACCGAUGUAAACAAGCAAAAAAAUCAAAAUUGUAUUAGAGGCUAAUUGCUGGAAUUUGAGAAUAAAUAGAGUCCCGUGUUUAUGUUUCGUUCUAAUAAAAACAUGUAGAAAUAAUGACGUUGUCGGAAAUGUGCAUGAAAUAUCUAAGUUUAAAAGUUAAGCAAACAAUAAACAAUCAAAUGUUUGAAUUUCCAAUCAUUCAUCCCUUGCCUGUAAUAUACCUGUAUUGUCAUUGAUUUCCUUGUUUGUGUGUGUGUUUUUUUUAUAUAAAAUUAUGUGAAAUUACAUAAGUGAUUUUCAUGCAAUUUAAGUUUUUUCCUGUAGUAUUUUGAAAAGAUGAUUUAUUGUAUGGUAAGUUGUAUUUUAUUUUUUUGUCAUUUUUAAAUGCCAUAGAUACAUACAGGUACAAGAACCAGCCUAUUAUGGCAUUUUUAAAAACAAAUUCCCCAAAAAACUAAAUAUAGCUUGCUCUGCCAAAUAUCAUGUUAAAUCACACCAACUUCUGAUUCUAAAACUCAAUUUAAUUCAAAAUAUAUUGUAUAAUUGUUUAUAUAUCAACUUCCAAUUCUUGAUAUAUAACAUAAAACAUAUUGGGGAAACCAAUUAGCUUCCUAAAAUAAUAAUGUAAAAUAUUAAACCACAUUAAUAGGUUAUGGUUAAGAAUCAAAUAAAAUCUUUUGAGAGAUAUUUACCGAAACUCUAUCUGUUAACAAAGUCAUUGAGUUUCGUGAUUAUUUUAUAACGUUAUUAUUAACAGAAAAACUAUGGCACAUGUAGUGGUGAAGUCUACAAACCAAGGCUAAAAAAUAAUCAGAUGUUUUUAUCGUAUUAAAUGAUUGAUGCUUUGAUAGAUGAAUGCGACUUCUGGUCCGAGACCACAAUUGUCGUCCCUUGAUUUUCGUUGUUCGAUUUUCGUUGUUCGAUUUUCGUUGUUCCUAUAUAUAGUCCGAAUAUAGUCCCUAGUGUUAACAGUGGGUUACUUGCCAAUAAUUUGUAUACCCCUUCCAAAUUUAUUUCUCCACGUUUAAUGCUUCAAAAUGUAAGUAAGGGGGGGGGG